Molecule: unclassified non-coding RNA, 1142 nt
Filed under: Polistes fuscatus (common paper wasp)
Lineage: Eukaryota; Metazoa; Arthropoda; Insecta; Hymenoptera; Vespidae
Description: diuretic hormone receptor, transcript variant X3
Source: RNAcentral
GAAAUUACGACAAAAAUAUACUUCAUUGGUUAUGGCUUAUCUCUUUGUACACUAGCAGUAGCUGUCUCCAUAUUUCUAUAUUUUAAAGAACUGAGAUGUCUUAGGAACAAUAUUCAUAUAAAUUUAAUGUUAACGUACAUCCUGGCUGACCUCAUGUGGAUACUAACUACCGCAAUGCAGGUUUCCAUGCAAACAGAUAUACCAACUUGUGUCAUGUUCUUCUCCCUUCUUCAUUAUUUUCAACUGACCAAUUUCUUCUGGAUGUUUGUUGAAGGAUUGUAUCUCUAUUUGUUAGUUGUAAGAACUUUUACGGGUGAUAAUAUUAAGUUGAGGAUGUGUCUUGUGAUCGGUUGGGGUGUUCCAAUUUUCAUCAUAGCCAUAUGGGGUAUUGCCAAAUCUCUGGUCACUCAAGGAAAUCAGAAUAUCGCACUUUGGAAACACUGUCCAUGGAUGACAUCACAUCCAUGCGAUUGGAUUUAUCAAGCAUCUGUCAUUACAGUUCUUGCUAUUAAUGUAAUUUUCUUAUUCUUGAUCAUGUGGGUACUAAUAACUAAAUUAUGGUCCGCGAACAAUGCAGAAACGCAACAAUACAGAAAAGCUAGCAAAGCUUUACUGGUGCUCAUACCACUUCUUGGAGUGACAUAUGUUCUGGUUCUCGCUGGACCAACGGAAGGUCAAGCGGCUAAUGCAUUUUCUUACACCCGUGCUGUGUUACUUUCUUCUCAGGGUUUGCUGGUGACGCUAUUCUAUUGUUUUCUCAAUACCGAGGUGCAAAGUGCACUAAGACAUCACUUUGCAACGUGGACAACGUCGCGUGAUCUUGGCAAUAGUCGAAGGUAUUACAAGAAUUGGUCUCCGCGCUCAAGAACAGAAAGCAUAAGGUACUUGAAGUCCGCGCCGAAGACGCGCACGUCUUAAAAUCGCUUUGCGGUGCUUCAAGACGUUGAAAGAACGCAGAAAUGACGAACGCUAUACGGCCAACCUUCAAAUCCAUAUCGUAAAAGGGAAUCUACGGUAAGUGAAACAACAACCACAACGGUGAUAGGUCCAAAUUCAACAACAACCUUUCUGGACAAAUCUAAGAAAGCCAUUUCAGAAGACUCAAAUGAAUAAAAUUUAACACAAAGCGAAUUUUGAUGGGA